RNAcentral lists this transfer RNA (73 nucleotides) under Cnemaspis bayuensis. Its description in RNAcentral is "tRNA-Asn". Lineage: Eukaryota; Metazoa; Chordata; Lepidosauria; Squamata; Gekkonidae. The record is from RNAcentral.
UAGGCCGAAUUCCGCUGGAUAGGAUGUUUAGUUGUUAUUUAAUAUUUUACGGGAUCAAGGCCCGUCGGCCUAG